CUUAACACAUGCAAGUCGAACGGAAAGGCCCUGCUUUUGUGGGGUGCUCGAGUGGCGAACGGGUGAGUAACACGUGAGUAACCUGCCCUUGACUUUGGGAUAACUUCAGGAAACUGGGGCUAAUACCGGAUAGGAGCUCCUGCUGCAUGGUGGGGGUUGGAAAGUUUCGGCGGUUGGGGAUGGACUCGCGGCUUAUCAGCUUGUUGGUGGGGUAGUGGCUUACCAAGGCUUUGACGGGUAGCCGGCCUGAGAGGGUGACCGGCCACAUUGGGACUGAGAUACGGCCCAGACUCCUACGGGAGGCAGCAGUGGGGAAUAUUGCACAAUGGGCGGAAGCCUGAUGCAGCAACGCCGCGUGCGGGAUGACGGCCUUCGGGUUGUAAACCGCUUUCGCCUGUGACGAAGCGUGAGUGACGGUAAUGGGUAAAGAAGCACCGGCUAACUACGUGCCAGCAGCCGCGGUGAUACGUAGGGUGCGAGCGUUGUCCGGAUUUAUUGGGCGUAAAGGGCUCGUAGGUGGUUGAUCGCGUCGGAAGUGUAAUCUUGGGGCUUAACCCUGAGCGUGCUUUCGAUACGGGUUGACUUGAGGAAGGUAGGGGAGAAUGGAAUUCCUGGUGGAGCGGUGGAAUGCGCAGAUAUCAGGAGGAACACCCAGUGGCGAAGGCGGUUCUCUGGGCCUUUCCUGACGCUGAGGAGCGAAAGCGUGGGGAGCGAACAGGCUUAGAUACCCUGGUAGUCCACGCUGUAAACGGUGGGUACUAGGUGUGGGGUCCAUUCCACGGGUUCCGUGCCGUAGCUAACGCUUUAAGUACCCCGCCUGGGGAGUACGGCCGCAAGGCUAAAACUCAAAGGAAUUGACGGGGCCCCGCACAAGCGGCGGAGCAUGCGGAUUAAUUCGAUGCAACGCGUAGAACCUUACCUGGGUUUGACAUGGAUCGGGAGCGCUCAGAGAUGGGUGUGCCUCUUUUGGGGUCGGUUCACAGGUGGUGCAUGGCUGUCGUCAGCUCGUGUCGUGAGAUGUUGGGUUAAGUCCCGCAACGAGCGCAACCCUUGUUCACUGUUGCCAGCACGUUAUGGUGGGGACUCAGUGGAGACCGCCGGGGUCAACUCGGAGGAAGGUGGGGAUGACGUCAAGUCAUCAUGCCCCUUAUGUCCAGGGCUUCACGCAUGCUACAAUGGCUGGUACAGAGAGUGGCGAGCCUGUGAGGGUGAGCGAAUCUCGGAAAGCCGGUCUCAGUUCGGAUUGGGGUCUGCAACUCGACCUCAUGAAGUCGGAGUCGCUAGUAAUCGCAGAUCAGCAACGCUGCGGUGAAUACGUUCCCGGGGCUUGUACACACCGCCCGUCAAGUCAUGAAAGUUGGUAACACCCGAAGCCGGUGGCCUAACCGUUGUGGGGGAGCCGUCGAAGGUGGGACUGGUGAUUAGGACUAAGA
Molecule: ribosomal RNA, 1433 nt
Filed under: uncultured organism
Description: SSU rRNA
Rfam family: Bacterial small subunit ribosomal RNA
Source: RNAcentral